This is a long non-coding RNA of Ricinus communis (castor bean), 894 nucleotides long. RefSeq lists it as uncharacterized. The record is from RefSeq and is a predicted model, not a curated record. The transcript is spliced from 2 exons. Lineage: Eukaryota; Viridiplantae; Streptophyta; Magnoliopsida; Malpighiales; Euphorbiaceae.
GUUACAGCUAGCUUUGUAUUUUCCACCGGAGCUCUGCAUCAGUACAAGUAUAUAUAUAUAUAUAUAUAUAUAUUCAUUGAAAUCCGUGUUAAAAACUUAAUUAUACAAGAAUGAAUUAUGGUUUAACUCGUACAUGAACACAUAAUAAUCAAAUGGUCUAUUUUGAUUGAAACUUGACAGGGAAAUGAUACCUCACCAUUCUUAUAUUUAUAUAUAUAUGAAAAUUGUAAAAAGGGCCCUCUUCUUACUAUCACCAGUAAUGAUGUGUGUAUAUAUAUAGGUCCAGCAUAAACAUCCACUAAAAUAAUGUUUCAGAUGCAAAUUGCUUCCUCAACUUCAAAAGGGUCCUUUUCUUUCCCUCUCUUCUUAAUCUCUAUUCCACCAAAUAAUUAAAAGACAGCUCCUCCACCCAACUGAUAAAAUGUACGUACAGUACAGACCCAGGAAAGAAAAAUGGAAAGAAUAUUUAGGUGGUGGUUUACAGCUUCAUGGGAUUCAAGAAUGGUGGUGGUGGUGGUGCCGUCGGGGCUGCAGGUGGUGGUGGUGACAGUGUCUGACUGUGUGGUGGGGUUUGAGGAGGGGAAGCUGAGCAUCUGAUGAGGUGGCCCCAUGAAUUUUUUCUGGUUCUUAGUUGAUCAGCUUUAUUGGGUUCUUCGCCAAAUCAUACAUACAUACUAAUUUAAGUACGAAUGAUGACAUUUUCAUGGUGCCCAUAUGUAAUUUUACUUUUUACCUUCUAGGUUUUCUUUUUCUUUUCUUUUUUCCUUAAACAGGGAGAGAUUCCUUUGCUUUGAUUGUUAUAUGAUGUGCGUAACUUUAAUUUAUUUUGUAAGCAGAGUGUUUAAAUGCUAAUUAACUUGAUGAUAAUAAUAAUUAAUUAAAAAUGAUGCUUUA